Molecule: ribosomal RNA, 403 nt
Filed under: uncultured bacterium
Lineage: Bacteria
Description: bacterial SSU rRNA
Rfam family: Bacterial small subunit ribosomal RNA
Source: RNAcentral
AACGAACGUUGGCGGCGUGGAUGAGGCAUGCAAGUCGAACGUGAAAACCUUCGGGUGAGUAGCGUGGCGGACGGGCGAGUAACACGUAAUCAAGCUACCUGCUAGACGGGGAUAACUUCGGGAAACCGAUCGUAAGACCCGAUGGGCUCACGACACCGCAUGGUGAUGUGAGUAAAUGGACGGGACCCUCCGGGGCCGUCUGCUAGUGGAGGUGAUUGCGGCCCAUCAGCUUGUUGGUAGGGUAAUGGCCUACCAAGGCUACGACGGGUAGCCGGCCUAAGAGGGUGGCCGGUCGCACUGGGACUGAGACACUGCCCAGACUCCUACGGGAGGCUGCAGUCGAGAAUCUUCCGCAAUGGACGAAAGUCUGACGGAGCGACGCCGCGUGGAGGACGAAGGCCUC